RNAcentral lists this ribosomal RNA (497 nucleotides) under uncultured bacterium. RNAcentral's name for it is "partial 16S ribosomal RNA". It matches the Rfam family "Bacterial small subunit ribosomal RNA", at positions 28 to 507 of the family's 1533-position model. The record is from RNAcentral.
GAUGAACGCUGGCGGCGUGCCUAAUACAUGCAAGUCGAGCGAACAGACGAGGAGCUUGCUCCUCUGACGGUAGCGGCGGACGGGUGAGUAACACGUGGAUAACCUACCUAUAAGACUGGGAUAACUUCGGGAAACCGGAGCUAAUACCGGAUAACAUAUUGAACCGCAUGGUUCAAUAGUGAAAGACGGUUUUGCUGUCACUUAUAGAUGGAUCCGCGCCGCAUUAGCUAGUUGGUAAGGUAACGGCUUACCAAGGCAACGAUGCGUAGCCGACCUGAUAGGGUGAUCGGCCACACUGGAACUGAGACACGGUCCAGACUCCUACGGGAGGCAGCAGUAGGGAAUCUUCCGCAAUGGGCGAAAGCCUGACGGAGCAACGCCGCGUGAGUGAUGAAGGUCUUCGGAUCGUAAAACUCUGUUAUUAGGGAAGAACAAAUGUGUAAGUAACUAUGCACGUCUUGACGGUACCUAAUCAGAAAGCCACGGCUAACUACGUG